AGAGUUUGAUCCUGGCUCAGGAUGAACGCUGGCGGCGUGCCUAAUACAUGCAAGUCGAACGGGAAGCGGUACUUGUAUCGCUGAGAGUGGCGGACGGGUGAGUAACACGUAGGCGACCUGCCCCGGAGAGGGGGAUAACGCACCGAAAGGCGCGCUAAUACCCCAUAAGCUCACACGGAUCAGAAGGGUGUGAGAAAAGGAAAAUUGCUCUGGGAGGGACCUGCGGCCCAUCAGGUCGUUGGUAGGGUAACGGCCUACCAAGCCGAUGACGGGUAGGGGGCCUGAGAGGGUGGUCCCCCACACGGGCACUGAGAGACGGGCCCGACUCCUACGGGAGGCAGCAGUAAGGGAUAUUGCACAAUGGGCGCAAGCCUGAUGCAGCAACGCCGCGUGCCUGAGGAAGGCCUUCGGGUCGUAAAGGGCUUUUCUGGCUGAAGAGCAAGGACAGUAGGCCAGGAAGAAGUGUCGGCUAACUACGUGCCAGCAGCCGCGGUAAAACGUAGGACGCGAGCGUUAUCCGGAGUUACUGGGCGUAAAGGGCGGGCAGGCGGACGGACAAGUUGGCGGUGAAAGCGCCCGGCUCAACCAGGCGAGGCCCGUCGAAACUGUCCGACUGGAGGGCAAGGGAGGCGCGUGGAAUUCCCGGUGGAGUGGUGAAAUGCGUAGAGAUCGGGAGGAACACCAGAGGC
Molecule: ribosomal RNA, 689 nt
Filed under: uncultured bacterium
Lineage: Bacteria
Description: bacterial SSU rRNA
Rfam family: Bacterial small subunit ribosomal RNA
Source: RNAcentral